This 497-nucleotide ribosomal RNA is filed under the name uncultured bacterium. RNAcentral's name for it is "partial 16S ribosomal RNA". It matches the Rfam family "Bacterial small subunit ribosomal RNA", at positions 28 to 507 of the family's 1533-position model. The record is from RNAcentral.
GACGAACGCUGGCGGCGUGCCUAAUACAUGCAAGUAGAACGCUGAAGCGAGGAGCUUGCUCUUCUUGGAUGAGUUGCGAACGGGUGAGUAACGCGUAGGUAACCUGCCUUGUAGCGGGGGAUAACUAUUGGAAACGAUAGCUAAUACCGCAUAACAAUGGAUGACACAUGUCAUUUAUUUGAAAGGGGCAAUUGCUCCACUACAAGAUGGACCUGCGUUGUGUUAGCUAGUAGGUGAGGUAAUGGCUCACCUAGGCGACGAUACGUAGCCGACCUGAGAGGGUGAGCGGCCACGCUGGGACUGAGACACGGCCCAGACUCCUACAGGAGGCAGCAGUAGGGAAUCUUCGGGAAUGGGGGCAACCCUGACCGAGCAACGCCGCGGGAGUGAAGAAGGUUGUCGGGUCGUAAAGCUCUGUUGUAAGUCAAGAACGGGUGUGAGAGUGGAAAGUUCACACUGUGACGGUAGCUUACCAGAAAGGGACGGCUAACUACGUG